AUGCAACACAGCAAGAUGGUAAACCGAGUUGGAACAAAGCAUAUGUGGCAGGCCCGAGCAACUUUGCCAUUACAGGGCCAUCAUGUGGUACUAGUGGAUGGAACCAGAGCAGUUCUACCACGAAAGUUUAUAAGAGAAGGCAAUUUGAUAGUAAUUGGAGCUCAGAUGCAACACAACAAGAUGGUAACCCAAGUUGGAAGAAAGCAAAUGUGGCAGGCCAGGGCAACUUUGCCAUUACAGGGCCAUCUAGCUCUGGUGGAUGGAGUAGAAAGACCAAUAAUCUUGGUAGAGGUCGAGGUGGUGGUAGAGGUGCAGUGUGGAAAUCAGAGGGAUCACACCGUGGAGGUAACAGUAGGUGGAAAGCCCAAAGAGCCAAUACCACAAGCGCCCCGAACUUCCACAUUUCAGGACCAUCCAACUUUGGUGGACGGAACAUCAAGACCGGCAAUCUUGGCCCAUGCCGUGGCAGAGGACCAGCAUGGAGAUCAAACGGACCAAACCGGGGAGGUAGCAAUGGUGGACCAAGAGGGAGUUCAAAUUUUACACUAG
This 549-nucleotide ribosomal RNA is filed under the name Triticum aestivum (bread wheat). Its description in RNAcentral is "partial small subunit ribosomal RNA". The record is from RNAcentral. Lineage: Eukaryota; Viridiplantae; Streptophyta; Magnoliopsida; Poales; Poaceae.